RNAcentral lists this ribosomal RNA (484 nucleotides) under uncultured bacterium. RNAcentral's name for it is "partial 16S ribosomal RNA". It matches the Rfam family "Bacterial small subunit ribosomal RNA", at positions 30 to 507 of the family's 1533-position model. The record is from RNAcentral.
AUUGAACGCUGGCGGUAGGCCUAACACAUGCAAGUCGAGCGGCAGCACAGUACUUGCUUGUUGUUUCGGGUGCGGAGUGGUGGGCGGGUCCUGAGAACAUCGGAAUCUACUUUUUCGUGGGGGCGAACGUGGGGGCAAUUACGCCAAUACCGCAUACGACCUACGGGUGAAAGCUGGGGACCUCAGGCUAUCGCGCGAUCGUAGGUGGGAUUAGCUAGUUGGUGGGGUAAAGGGCUACCAAGGCGACGAUCCGUAACUGGUCUGAGAGGAUGAUCAGUCACACUGGAACUGAGACACGGUCCAGACUCCUACGGGAGGCAGCAGUGGGGAAUAUUGGACAAUGGGCGAAAGCCUGAUCCAGCCAUGCCGCGUGUGUGAAGAAGGUCUUCGGAUUGUAAAGCACUUUAAGUUGGGAGGAAGGGCAGUAAGUUAAUACCUUGCUGUUUUGACGUGACCAACAGAAUAAGCACCGGCUAACUUCGUG